AUUGAACGCUGGCGGCAGGCUUAACACAUGCAAGUCGAGCGGGGGAAGGUAGCUUGCUACCGGACCUAGCGGCGGACGGGUGAGUAAUGCUUAGGAAUCUGCCUAUUAGUGGGUGACAACAUCUCGAAAGGGAUGCUAAUACCGCAUACGUCCUACGGGAGAGAGCAGGGGAUCUUCGGACCUUGCGCUAAUAGGUGAGCCUAAGUCGGAUUAGCUAGUUUGUUGGGUAAAGGCCUACCAAGGCGACGAUCUGUAGCGGGUCUGAUAGGAUGAUCCGCCACGCUGGGACUGAGACUCGGCCAACUCCUACGGGAGGCAGCAGUGGGGAAUAUUGGAAAAUGGGGGGGAACCCUGAUCCAGCCAUGCCGCGUGUGUGAAGAAGGCCUUGUGGUUGUAAAGCACUUUAAGCGAGGAGGAGGCUACUCUAGUUAAUACCUAGGGAUAGUGGACGUUACUCGCAGAAUAAGCACCGGCUAACUCUGUGCCAGCCGCCGCAGUAA
This 500-nucleotide ribosomal RNA is filed under the name uncultured bacterium. RNAcentral describes it as "partial 16S ribosomal RNA". It matches the Rfam family "Bacterial small subunit ribosomal RNA", at positions 30 to 523 of the family's 1533-position model. The record is from RNAcentral.